RNAcentral lists this long non-coding RNA (690 nucleotides) under Daucus carota (carrot). RNAcentral's name for it is "long non-coding RNA (DCAR_LNC003016)". The record is from RNAcentral. Lineage: Eukaryota; Viridiplantae; Streptophyta; Magnoliopsida; Apiales; Apiaceae.
UUUUUAUAGAAUUUGUUUAUUAUGAGCAAAGUGAACAGUAGUAGGUGAGAGAGCAAACGGUCGGCUUAAAAAACUACUCCAACUGUAGCGUAUAGUAUAAUCACAUGAAUAUGGAAAUGUUAAUAUAAAAGCAAUCUUGUCUCCAUCAACACUAAUGAAGAGAAAGAAAUUUAGCCUUUCCAUUCUACAUGUUGACACGUAGUCGUAACAUUAUUAGAAAAAUAGGAAACUAUUGGCUGUGUGUCUGUCGGUCAGGGUCCCACUAGUCUCACCUCUGUAAACAAAAGAAGACUAUUCCUUUAAUAUACCAUUACCACCUCUCUAUCCCUCGCAGCUGGCUACAAAGUAUGCACCCCCACUCUUUCUUAUACUUGAUACCUUAUUAUAUUAUAUUAUUAGAUUUGGCUAGGGUUAGGAAUUCCAGUCGACCAAGAAAGAAAGAGUUUUGAGUUCGUGUCUGAUUCGAUUCAAAUUUAACCGAGUUGGUUUGUUUAGCUAAUCGUGUCUAAAAUCUCUAUCUGAACUCAACUCGUUUAAUUUCAUGAUUCGAGUCGAGUCGCAUCGUUUAAGCUAAAUGAGUCGGUUUUAACAAACCUAGCGAGCCAACUCGUAAUUUUACAUUUAAUCGAGUCUAAACCUCUACAUGAACUCGAUUAUUAAUUUCAAAAUUCAAAUUGAGCCGGCUUGUUU